Molecule: ribosomal RNA, 513 nt
Filed under: uncultured bacterium
Lineage: Bacteria
Description: partial 16S ribosomal RNA
Rfam family: Bacterial small subunit ribosomal RNA
Source: RNAcentral
GACGAACGCUGGCGGCGUGCUUAACACAUGCAAGUCGAACGAAAAGAGGGAAAGAGCUUGCUCUUUCCGGAAUUGAGUGGCAAACGGGUGAGUAACACGUAAACAACCUGCCUUCAGGAUGGGGACAACAGACGGAAACGACUGCUAAUACCGAAUAAGUUCCAAGAGCCGCAUGGCCCAUGGAAGAAAAGGUGGCCUCUACCUGUAAGCUAUCGCCUGAAGAGGGGUUUGCGUCUGAUUAGCUGGUUGGAGGGGUAACGUCCCACCAAGGCGACGAUCAGUAGCCGGUCUGAGAGGAUGAACGGCCACACUGGAACUGAGACACGGUCCAGACUCCUACGGGAGGCAGCAGUGGGGAAUCUUCCGCAAUGGGCGAAAGCCUGACGGAGCAACGCCGCGUGAGUGAUGACGGCCUUCGGGUUGUAAAACUCUGUGAUCCGGGACGAAAAGGCAGAGUGCGAAGAACAAACUGCAUUGACGGUACCGGAAAAGCAAGCCACGGCUAACUACGUG